This is a non-coding RNA of Monodelphis domestica (gray short-tailed opossum), 473 nucleotides long. NCBI's taxonomy places the organism in Eukaryota, Metazoa, Chordata, Mammalia, Didelphimorphia, Didelphidae. The record is from RefSeq and is a predicted model, not a curated record.
UGAAUCAAAUGAGCAGUAGGUGGGCAGGGUGACCUAGACAGACCCAGCUCACUGAAGCCUGUGCUAAUAAUGCCCCUGGUACAGCCUUUCUUGGGACAGUAAAGCCAGAACAAUGUGUCAGACUGAAGCAAUAUCAAAGCAAAUGCAAGCAGGGCUGGGCAGGCUCAUGUUGGCCCAUGACACUUCUUGACUUGGGAAUGCCCGCUAAGUACUUUUAUGUCCUACAGGCUUCAGUGACCCAACAAGCCCCAAAGCAGCCUGAGCAGCAGCAGUGUGAAAAUAGGACAAAGAACCAACUGGCUGGAUUUUGCCUCCUCUUCUGGCCUUGCCCAGCCCUUAGUAGAAGGGCAAAGGAACUCUGGAAUAAAUAAAAUGGGCACUAGGAGUUCAAGAGGCAGCAAAGAAUGGACUAAAAAAAGGACUGCAAAGACUGCAGGACUAAAUCUUCAUUCAAUAAAAUUUCAUUAAAACCA